GAUGAAGAACGCAGCGAAAUGCGAUAAGUAAUGCGAAUUGCAGAAUUUCCGUGAGUCAUCGAAUCUUUGAACGCACAUUGCGCCCACUGGUAUUCCGGUGGGCAUGCCUGUUCGAGCGUCAUUAUCCUCCCUCAAACCCCGGGUUUGGUGUUGGACCCAAGUUGUGUGAACAACUGGUCUCAAAGACAAUGACGGCGUCCGUGGGACCCUCGGUGCAACGAGCUUUUAGGAGCACGCAUCGAGUUGCAAGGACCUUCCGGGCCGGUCUCCUUUUCCAUUUUACAAGGUUGACCUCGGAUCAGGUAGGAAUACCCGCUGAACUUAAGCAUAUCAAUAAGCGGAGGA
This 345-nucleotide unclassified non-coding RNA is filed under the name soil metagenome. RNAcentral's name for it is "partial contains 5.8S ribosomal RNA, internal transcribed spacer 2, and large subunit ribosomal RNA". The stretch from base 1 to 121 matches the Rfam family "5.8S ribosomal RNA", at positions 35 to 154 of the family's 154-position model. The record is from RNAcentral.